UUUGGGCCGACUUGGACUCGACUACAUUAAAAAUAGAAAACCUAAGUUACAUCCGACGUUUUGCUUUGAUGAUUGAAGAAGACUCGGGAGGAAUUUGACAGUGGGUUUGAGUGCAUUGGAAAAGAGACAGGAUAAGCUUUCCAACUAUUACUUAUACAGCCUAAACUGACUCCAUAUGAGGAACUUAUGCAUGUUUUCGUGUGGAUCUAUCUGGCUGCAACGAACCGAGUCCGAGUUGACUUCAACUUCUCUUAUCUUCUCUUAUCUUCUUUCCCCGUGAUUUGAUCACCAUGAGUCUGAGUUGAACAUGCC
RNAcentral lists this long non-coding RNA (312 nucleotides) under Setaria viridis. RNAcentral's name for it is "long non-coding RNA (SVIR_LNC005524)". The record is from RNAcentral. Lineage: Eukaryota; Viridiplantae; Streptophyta; Magnoliopsida; Poales; Poaceae.